RNAcentral lists this ribosomal RNA (867 nucleotides) under uncultured bacterium. RNAcentral describes it as "bacterial SSU rRNA". It matches the Rfam family "Bacterial small subunit ribosomal RNA", at positions 8 to 907 of the family's 1533-position model. The record is from RNAcentral.
AGAGUUUGAUCCUGGCUCAGAAUCAACGCUGGCGGCGUGCCUAACACAUGCAAGUCGAACGAGAAAGUGGAGCAAUCCAUGAGUAAAGUGGCGACCGGGUGAGUAACACGUGACUAACCUACCUCCGAGUGGGGAAUAACUCCGGGAAACCGGGGCUAAUACCGCAUAACAUCGCGAGAUCAAAGCAGCAAUGCGCUUGGAGAGGGGGUCGCGGCUGAUUAGCUAGUUGGCGGGGUAACGGCCCACCAAGGCGAAGAUCGGUAUCCGGCCUGAGAGGGCGCACGGACACACUGGAACUGAAACACGGUCCAGACUCCUACGGGAGGCAGCAGUGGGGAAUUUUGCGCAAUGGGGGAAACCCUGACGCAGCAACGCCGCGUGGAGGAUGAAGCCCUUUGGGGCGUAAACUCCUUUCGACCAAGACGAUAAUGACGGUACUGGUGGAAGAAGCACCGGCUAACUCUGUGCCAGCAGCCGCGGUAAUACAGAGGGUGCGAGCGUUGUUCGGAAUUAUUGGGCGUAAAGGGCGCGUAGGCGGUGCCACAAGUCACUUGUGAAAUCUCCGGGCUUAACUCGGAGUCUGCAGGCGAAACUGUGGUGCUGGAGUGUGGGAGAGGUGCGUGGAAUUCCCGGUGUAGCGGUGAAAUGCGUAGAUAUCGGGAGGAACACCUGUGGCGAAAGCGGCGCACUGGACCAUAACUGACGCUGAGGCGCGAAAGCUAGGGGAGCAAACAGGAUUAGAUACCCUGGUAGUCCUAGCCCUAAACGAUGAUUGCUUGGUGUAGCAGUACCCAAUCCUGCUGUGCCGCAGCUAACGCGAUAAGCAAUCCGCCUGGGGAGUACGGUCGCAAGGCUGAAACUCAAAGG